Molecule: long non-coding RNA, 509 nt
Filed under: Ursus maritimus (polar bear)
Lineage: Eukaryota; Metazoa; Chordata; Mammalia; Carnivora; Ursidae
Description: lncRNA (ENSUMAG00000009559.1)
Source: RNAcentral
GCACAAGCCGCGCCGGGGGGUAGAAGAUGAGGAGGCUGCGAGGGACCCCGAGUCAGACCUUCGGGGCCACAAGAAAGUGUCCGAGCGCCUCGCAGACUGCAGCAAGGGAAACGUCCCUUAAAAGUGCGACGAGGUGGGGACGAGGUGCAAUUAUUAUUAUCAGCAUCUAGAAAGCAUCAUGCAGGCAGUGACCUCCAUACUGCAUUGUUCUUACUGGAUCUUCCUAUCAAUGAACAUUAUGGAACUACCAAAACAGCAUCAAGUCCUUCUUGGAUGGAAAGUUUUCAAACUUCUUCAUUUGGAGUUACUUAAACAUUAGGAUGUUGGGAUUCUUGAUGAUGCCUUUCCUAUGUGGAUUACUACAAUUUGGUUACUGGGAAUUCUCUACCUCAAAGAAGUACUCUCAGGUGACUACGGAAGCAUUAGCAUCCUGCAUGCUCAGUUUCAUGCCCAAGCAUGAUGUCACUCACAUGACUUUGGUACAUCUCAAGUCCUUUUGCAAAUGGAAA